Bombus terrestris (buff-tailed bumblebee) is the source of this 13756-nucleotide RNA transcript. It is a transcript of the gene named basement membrane-specific heparan sulfate proteoglycan core protein, with no coding region annotated. The record is from RefSeq and is a predicted model, not a curated record. Lineage: Eukaryota; Metazoa; Arthropoda; Insecta; Hymenoptera; Apidae. The transcript is spliced from 13 exons.
GCGCCGGAGGCUCCAGUCCGAGCCCAGCAUCACUCGUGGUGGUUUCGCGCGCGCAUCCCCCGCCAAGGUGCGACUACUUUUCGAGGAAAGGGAAAGAGAUUCCGUCCUGGCGAUUCCGCCACGCUUUCAACCCCUUUUUCACGCGACACCCCGAAACACGCCGCGAAACAAUCGACCAACUGUGUCAUCAAAAAGACGAGCAAAAUACGAGAAGAAAAGAAAAGAAGAGAAAAAGAAAUCGUAGCGCAUCGUUUCCGACGUGCUAUGAUCACCAGACGAAAGAAGGAUCCGGCGAACGUGAGCCGACACCGUGAAGCAGCUAGAUCGUCGAACAUGUGAAGAAGAUGGAAAGAUCAGCGGCAAAAGGAUACGAAUCCUCGACGAGGAAUAUAAAGUCAAAACUACGGGAGAAAAUAUUUGCGUUCUCGAGGGAAUCAACGAAACGUGUUGAAGAAAAAACGCGAGUGAUUGUUUUCGAAACUCGAAUGCGGUCAAUUGCCACGACUUUGUAAACACAAAUAUCAACGCGGGUUUUGUUUAUCCCUCGUUCAUCGGUGACUCUUUUAGCCAUUCGUGUUCAGUGGCCUGAAAUCGAGAAAUCUCUGGAAUCUUCGUGUUUAUUCGCGCUCGCGUUCCAUAAAGUAGCACCUAGUAAGUGGAAACAGUCGCUGAGAUACAGACAAAGAGAGCCAGAGGACAAGGGACAUUGGUGAGAAUCGUUUCACAGGACGCACAUCCUCGUGCGUGAUUUUAUUCGUCGUUUCUCCAAGUGUGUGCGCGUUUCUUAUCGAACUGUUCGUCUGAAUGGAAGCCAGUACGAUCUUAGCCGCGUAGUUGGACGGACCGACGAAUCGUUGGUCGUUGAAUAUUCACCGUGGACGAGGCUGGACGAUCCACGAGCGGAAAGUUCUCGCCUCGCAUCGCCGCUUAUAAUCACGUUAUGAAUGCACGACACGCCGUUCCGGCUUCGUAGCGGCGCAUCAUGCUCGGCUGCUUGAAUGUGCCAGUGCAAGUGCGAGAUCCGUGGUAUCGAUCCGUCGAUCGCCGAUAAAUAAAUCGGGCCCCGUGUUUCGUGUAACGUGUUCCGCGGAAGGUGAUAAAGGGGAGAAACAUAUAGAGGAAGGAGAGAAAUUUUGCGUCACAGUGAGAGAGCAAAAAUAUCGAGGGAAGAAAGGAGGAACGAAAUUAAAGUGCGCGCGAGUUGGUUACUGGGGCGCGAAUGAUUUGUAGGUCGGAUAUUUCGAAAAUUGCGAUCGCCAGCUGUCGGAGGAAAUGUUUCACCGAAUGAUGGUCAGAUCGGUAGAUCGAUCGGCAAUCGAAAGUUUUCGUUCCUUGUAAGCCCCUACCACCCUGUACUUUCUUCCCCUUUGUGUCUCCACCAGUUUCUACCUUAAGCUUUCUGCGAAUUGCCAGCGUAAUUACAAGUGCCGCGGCUGAGAAAUAUUACAGGUUUCGUCUUUCCAUGGAAUAAGAAUAACAGUGUCGCUGCGAAUCCCUUCGAGGUUUAUCGAAUAUUCUUCGCGUAAUCGUACGUCGUUAUUCGUUCGGUCACGCGAUAGGAUGGCUAGUAGCUGGUGAAGCUCGAAAAAUUUAUCCUGAAAGCUUGUGAAAGUGCGUGCGUAUUAUUAUUAGAACGGUUUUCUACCAAGUGACGAACGUACAUAGAGAAAGGUGUUGGAGGGCCAACCGAGGAUUUCGGAGUGUGUAACCACGGAGUUUCUGUCGUUCCACGAGCUCCAUUCGCAAUCGCGACGCUUGAUUUCGUAGCAUUGUCCGGCUCCCUGCACGCGGUCCAGUGCAUCAAAGGCGAGGAUCGCUUUCGUGUACACGGCAACGAAACAACAAAGGAAAUACGAUUUAUUUAGAGAAAUACGUAACCGGAUGGAAAACAAAUGAAUGUCAUUCCAACACACUGAGCUCGCAGGAGUUUCAUGGAAUAACGACGCAACGAUGAUCAAUAUGAAGUUUUUUCGCGUGUUUUUGGCACUCCUAGGAGGCACGCACGUCCUCUGCGCACAACCAUCCGCAUCUCCAACUGUGAAAAGCACCGGUGGAUCAAGCCUGGCGAGCGUGGUCGCCGGAAGUAAACCUUUGAAUAAGCCAGAUUUCGACGACAUCGCCCCACGAAAUGUUACUGCCAUCGUUGGUCAAACAGCGGAAUUGAAUUGCUUCGUGAAGCAUCCUGGAGACAGAGUGGUGUCUUGGAUACGUAAAAGAGAUUUACACAUACUCACGUCGUCCAUCUAUGCGUACACGGGGGACGAAAGAUUCUCCGUGAAGCAUCCCGAAACAUCUGACGAAUGGACGUUGAAGAUCGAUUACGUUCAACAACGUGACGCUGGGGUUUACGAAUGCCAGGUUAACACCGAGCCCAAAUUGAAUUUAGCCUUCGUGUUGAGAGUCGAAGAAAGUGCCCCUGUCCCCGCCACCACCACACCGAACGCCAUUCAUCGGACGUUCAACUCAGCCGCUCAGGCGAAAAUCCUGGGUCCGGAAGAAGUCUACGUGAAGAAGGGUAGCACGAUAAGCCUCACGUGCACCGUUAAUGUGCAAAGUACACCGCCCAGCAGCGUUUCGUGGCAUCACGGAGGAGCUGUGGUGGAUUUCGACAGUCCCAGCGUUCACCGCAGGGGCGGGGUUUCCUUGGAGACCGAGAAGACGGAAAGCGGCACGACGAGCAGACUUCUGGUGACACAAGCCAGAUUGACCGACAGCGGAAAUUACACCUGCAUUCCCAGCAACGCGAAUCCAGCCAGCGUAAUGGUCCACGUGCUGAAUGGCGAACAUCCUGCGGCGAUGCAACACGGCGGAAGUUGCGGCGUCACGCCUACCAUUUUAUUAGCGACCUUUACCCUGGUGAUAUCGAAUCUGCUAAGGUGAGCAGUAUCGUUGUGAAUCGUGCGACCUCCAAGUCACACGGUCUGAUCGAGCUCGUUUCGUGUACCGAGACAAACAUGUAUCACCGAGACCAGGAAUCGUUGAAAAGGUAAAACGUGAACGAAGAAAACCGCGUUCUCCUUUAGGAAGCAUACGGAGGUCAUUGUGUACGAAAGAAAGAACGCGAGAUUUCGUUUUAAAUAGCAACGUGACUGGCGUUGUUAACGCGUGAGAUCAUCAGAGAUUUUCCAACGAAAAAAAAAAAAAAAAGAACAAAAGAAAGGACCUAGGCGUGGACAAAGUGCAGUGGAUCUGGCCAUGUGUGAUAAACACAGUGACACGGAAGUGGAGCUCGACUUGCACACGAGGACUGAACACGUUUGCCAGGAUGAGGUUGAAUUUUGAGAAGCAGUAGGGGUUCCAGGAGCUGUAAUACGUAAUAAAGAUAUUACACGUCCCAUACGUGAAUGCAAAGAACAUGCCACGAGCAGAUGGCGUCGGGCACGUGUACGCGUACUCAGCUGUGCUUACAAGAACAUCGCUUGACGUUGCCAAAAUCUAUUACAUAAGGCGUCGAGCUCCACGUGCGUGCAAGAUUCUCGUGGUUUAAUGCCCUAAUAUUAAAUUGUCGUGAAAGGAUAACCGACCCUUCAAACCUCAUCCCCCGACGUAAGAUUUAACCAGAAAAUCGAAGAAGAAACUGUCAAGCUGAAAAAUUAAUAAAUGAAGUAGAACGUUUAUCAAACGAAGCUCUCACGGAUAAGAAACAUAUACUUGAUCCCAAAAUUAAAUAGAGAUAAUUAUUUAAUUGAUUGACCGGCUAAUAAAAUUCGAAAAUUUAUUUUCUCUGAAAGAUGGAAAUUUGAUUUAUACGCUUCGAGUGAAGCGAAGCACAACGCUAACAUUUUCGGUCAAAGGCUGUAGUUGAACGAGUAUGAAAGAUGUUCGAAAUUGGGAAUUUUUUAAAUUGUUGAAAAUUUCAUGAUGGAAUUUAGUCGAGCUACUAGAGUUCGCUAAGGAAGUUAGAGCCGUUUGUACGACGUAAAGGUUUCGAUUAUGGCUGUUGGCUUCUUGAGACUUGCAUUGUUGGCGCGCUUUCGACUUGAUGGUUCUUUGCGACUACCAAUAUCGACCAAGAUCAUGAUCUUGAUCUUUUUUAUUUCUUUUUUUUUUGAGGAAUCGCCAACAGGUACUCUGUUUAAUGUUUCUUUCUACAAUUGCACAAGUCUGAUGCUCCAGUGGCAAAAAUAGAUAGAAGCACUUUAUGAGCUUACAUUCGACCGUGUACAUUCGAAACUAAUAAAUUUUCCUUCCACUUUUCCUUUUCCGAAAUUGGUUUUUUGGCUUCCUACCACUGAUUCGUUCGUGGCGAAAAUUCAUCGGUUUCUGUGGCGAUUGCUCUCAUAUUUUCUGGCGAUUAAAUACUUGUAGAAACUUCUAUUUUUCCAGAAUGUUAUUUUUGGAAUUUUGAAGUUAAUUAUUAGCUUUUAGAGUUAUUCAAACGGAACGUUAUCGAAGGAAUGUCUCGAUCAAUCUGUCAGGUGAUUUUCAGUACUGUAAUUGUUAGAUUAUUGGAGAGACAGCAAUUCCUUCGCCAAGAUCGAUCGCGAUUGAUCGCAUACUAUCGGUAUUAAUUCCUAAAGUCGCAUAACAUGCCUGUAUAUACAACAUGAGGCCAUUUACUAUUAGAUAACCGCAUGAAAUUCAUAUCACUGAUGGGAUGGUUGAUUCUGUCUACAGACGAGCGCUUCUGAUACCGAAUAACAUGAUUUUAAAAUAUUUGACAGUCCUAUCAAAAUAUGCAGUUCUUCAGAUAUUGUUUCACAAUGGAAUUUAUAUUCUAUGAUUCCAUGCUAAUUUCUCUAUUAAUUUUCAUUCUUCUUUUAUAAUAUGACAUUUAUCAUAAAUAUGCAUCUAAUUUCUAAUUUACUAACUGUAUGAAAACACGGCAUAAGAAAACAAUCGAUUAAAUAACUGCAUAAUCUUUUAUAGGAAAUAACGGGUUGCUCAUUAAAUUAUGUUAAUAUAUUGCAUUUGAAAAAGCGUUUUUAACCCUCAUUGGAUUUCUGCCAAAUAAUUGCAUAAAUAAUUAAAUAAUAAUUAAGUGUAAGCCAUUCAAUUCUCCUCUGAACAUUUGCACAUAUAUCGGGUUAUUUACAAAUAAUUUUAUAGUCAUAAAUUAUUAUUGUACAUCCUGUAUAGGUAUCUAGUAUAUUGAAUUAUUAUAAAAUUCCUGUUUAUUUCGUAAGUACGUAUAAGACAUUAUAAGCUUACCAAUCUGAAGACAGCUGAUAUUAAAAAAAAUUAAGCUAAUAAUAGAAAAUUUCUAACGCAAUUUACUUAAUUCACCAUUUUAUUCGACGACCCCUUUUUCCAGAAGGCUUUUCAAUCGACUACGAUACACGAGCUGUUGGAAAUUACGAUGACCCAGGGUCAGUAAAUCUUAGACAAUAGUAGUAAUUGAAAUUCCUUGAUCAAUGCAAAUAAGAGACGGUUCAGAGAUAAAGAGGGAAGAUAUAAAUCUUUGUCAACGCGAUUUGGUUCACGGUCGAUGGAACGUCCGGCGUACUACAGCCUACAGCCUGCGGUUUACACAAUUUCCUCGGCAUUCGAGUAGUCUGCUCUACUCGGCGCUUCGUGGCCAGAAGAUCACGACGGAUUCCGGACAUCAGCGGACGAUCCGUUCUCGUCCUUUGUCGAGGAUGGGUAUCAAGGAUAGUUAAUUGGCUACCCGAAUAGGGCACGGCCAAUUAAGCGUUUAAUUAGAGUGGCAGGCUAUCGAUGGAUUUUCGGUUGCUUGGCAUUAAUCGAUGAUCUCUGGUCUGACAGGGCUUCGAAUAUUCGCCGUUGAAAUUCGUGGCAGUGGGUUUAUGUUUUGUUCAAAUUUCAAAAUACUGUUCGAAUAUUACAAUCAAUCUCUUGGAUAAUCUGUUGUUGAACGAAUAAGAACAUUUGUAUCAAACACGUUGAAAGAAACAUAAACUGUGAAAAUGGAGCACUUAUGAUCGAAUACCUUUAUAUGUAUAUCAUGUGCAUUAUAUGAAGCAUUCUGAAAUUUCAUUGGCAGUGUAAUGAGACACGACUGUCGUGAUUCAGUUGGAAAAAUUUGCAAGCUGAAGAUGAAUGUAGAAGUCACAGAACAUUUAUUAGAAGCAUAUACCCAUUGAAUAUUUAGAAGUAUUAAUACAAUGGAUGAUACGUUUAAGUACUUGAUUAUUUAACAUAAUUCAGUAUUUAAUUGCUUAUUUAUAAUACUUUUAUGACGUCUGUGCAAGAUACAUUUGCUUUAAAUAUCCUGUGUACAUUUUUGGAUUUGUUUCAAGCUUUUCCAUAAUAGUCGAGUAGUUUAUCAUCUUAAUUUACUUAUCUUAAUAUUCUAUGGUAUAAUCAUGAUAGGGGAGUCGCAUUACAAUGCUAAUGAAAUUUCAAUAUGUAUCAUAUACAUACGAUAGACAUAACGUAAGUAUUCAAAUAUCUUCAUCAUCUACUAUGUAUUUCAUUUGAGGCUACGAGUCCUCUUCUGAUAGUAAAAGCAAUAUGGUCAAAAUUGCGAGUGACUUAUGAAGUAAGACACAAAGUCACACCUAUAAUAAGUUCUAACAUUAUUCUCUGCCCGUAGAGAUCCCGGUGCACCAAUAUGUCGUCUCUAGCCGAAAAUUCACGAGCGCUUUCGAGAUUUUUAAAUAUAUAGAUAUAUCUAUAUAUAUACAUAUAUAUAUGUAUGUACCUGGUGCACAUAGGCAACAUGGCGCUAAAGUUAGUAGGAAGUUUAAUACCUAACGACUCCCUGAGCUACCGUUUAUACGGCUCCAAAUUUCAUCCCUUGCCUUUUCUUUUUCUCGUCGUCCCUCACUCGGUCCCAAGCUCGUCUUCCUGCGAUAUUAUUAAAUUUUCUGGGGGAAUUGAAGCAAGAGAAUCCAUUCUUGUCCUUGUGUUAUUGAAAAAGAGCGUACAACAUGGUUGACUGCACGAAGGGCGGCUGCAAAAUCAUUUCAAAUUUUCGAUUUGGCUGGAAGAUUUUAUUCGGUCUAUCAACGUUUUUAUAUGUUGGAAAUGUCGAAAUUACCGCGAACCAACGAAACGAAUUUAAUUCACCGAAUUGGACGAAAUAUCUGAACGCGACAAUUAACGUGCUCGAGAUUUUUUCAUGACUGCCAUAAUGAAAUACUAUUCUUUUGUAAUUCCAUUCGCGAUUAAAAACGAUACAGUCAAGCGAAGCAAGCGCUUUUCGAACGAUACGUGGCGAGAAAAUGUUAGGUUACAACCACAGCUGGUUUCUGUAUACUUUUUCGCUCAUACAUACCAUCAUGAAGAUGUACGUGAAUGUUCGAAUAUCGAUCGGUUUAAUGACUGCCGAAACAUUUCCAAAGUACGACGAGUAGCACUCGAAGAAGGAUCGACUUUUGAAACGCGUAGGAUACAGGACAAUUUUCAAGAGUUCCUUCAGGAAAGCUAUGCCAGUUGGAGAGGCACUUUUGUAACUUUUCGUGCUUAUAGAUCAUUCCAUGGUAGUCGUAACGCCAACUUCUCUUUUUCUCUCUCUCCUUUUCUAUCUCCAUGACAACAGAUAGACUUUCACAUUAACGAAUCGAUUUCGUCGAGUAAAAGUUGAAGCUACAAUCGGCUCUUAGAGCCACUCAGACAUGCAACACCGGCAAACCGUGAUGAUUGAGAGAAAAAAGUUUCGAUUUCGUCAGGAAAAAGAAUAUUACCGACGAUUGUUGCAUCCAGUGUUAUUAUCGUUUGAAAAAGAAUGGUAAUUAAUAUCGUUGAUACACGUCGAUAACGAAACGAUGAAACGACACGGUUUAGCUUGGUGUACAUCCGGCAAAACAAUGAGUAAAAUCGCGGACCAAUUAACGGCGUAAUGGUUGCACGAUAAUUCGCAACGAUAAAGCUUUCCUCUCUCUGGGGAUCGUUCGAACACCACAAAUUGCCCCAGCUGGCCUUAAUAAUUUUCUUUAAUCACUGCAUUCUAUAUUUAAUUCGUAGCGUCUGAUAGAUACGUCCCGGUGAUCUACAGUUCUUUGGUAAGCUCAGUAGGCUAGCUUAGCGGAGCACUUAUGGCUGAUUUAUACGAACCAUUACCACUAGCAGUGACCCAAUAAGGUUAUCCGCCAACCUCGGUGAACCAGAUCAGUGGCGCUCUUAAAGGUUGAUUCACAAGGCCCACCGUUAGCCUUAAACCGUCCUCGACUGUGAAUCUUAUUAAGGUCAAUGAUGAUACUCUUGUACUUGGUGACUUGGAGAUUAAUAGCGAACUACUGCAGUGUUAUUGUCCCUGCUAUUGAAUACGAAUAUGAUUGUCUAUGAAUAUUUUGAUUGCGUUUAAUAAUGUGGGUAGUUUUAUUGUUCCAUCUCCGGAUAAGACGAAGAGGUUUGCUUACUACGAGACAGUUUCAGUGGCAGAUAAAAAUGUGACUGAGUAUAGUAUGAAUGAUUUUGAAAUAUGAAGUGCAGAAAGAAGGCCACUCGACUCGAAGACGAACUGAAGAACAUAACUCAACGACUAUAGAUACGCAUCAUCCACAUAUUUUAACAAACGUUCUAUUGUAUUUUGUAACUUUCUUCACUUCAGACCGCUUGAAGCAAGGAAAGCACUUAACUCCGUGCAAAUUAAACUCAAGAAUAGAAUUGGAUAAUUGUAUUCAGAAAUUGUACCGGUUAACUCGAUAGUAUUAGCAUAGUAUUAGUAAUUAUGAUUGUGCGCUAUUGCGCUAUUGUAUUCUUAAACAUUCGAGACUCGUUCUAUGCGUCUCUUUCAUAUGCACUUUGGUCGCUUUAAAUACUAAUCUAAGACGAAAGAAGUUUCCCAUUUGCCAUUACGGCAGCAAGAAAGAGAAUUCUUAGACGACACGUCGUUAAAGCGUGGGCGUAGCUUUUAACUACAGUUUCCGUGUUAUUAGCGCCGGCUAGUCGUUAGCCAAAUUUUUCCUGGGCAAACUAUUCAACUCGUAAUCCGAACACAACAGUGCUAAAAGCUCAUCGUCGUCCUUAAUAGUGCGCUCUGAAUACGAGCCAAAUAUUAAAAUCUCUUCUCGCGGAAGGCAAAACUUCAAAGACGCGGCGGAGCGGUUCAGAACGAAGAUUCCAGAAGAUUAGCCGGGAAGAAACGCGGAAAUUCGGUGGCUCCUAGACAUCGAAAAUCCGCUGCAAAACAAGGAUAGAAGCGAGAUAGUUCGAGUGAAAGGUACUGAAAAGGUGGAAUAAGUCGUCGAAUUGGAAGAUAACGAAAGGAAGGGGGACAGGGGAAGAAACUGAGCAGAACUGAAAGUGGAAAGACGGUGAAAACUUUAGGUUGAAACGGUUAGAGUGCCCUUCGGAGCGAGACGGUAUGAAGAUAUCGAGGAUAGGGUCUCGAGACGAGUGGCAGAGUGAGAGGACUCAUGGUGAUGUGCAAUUAGGAAAAUUGAAUUCCGCCGUAAUUAACUUUCUUAAUUAAUAGAAUCGCGGGAUUGUAUCUUUAAUCUGGCCGUUGGAAGUGCUUCUGGCAGCUUCUGUCACCGAACGGAAGAGAAUGUGGCUUGGCUCCGACUCGGGAUGAAACCAGGAACAGAUGAAGACGACUGCAAGGAACGAGGAUAGAGAAAACGAUAGGAAGAGCGGGAUGCAAGAUUGACGAACGUGCAGAGAACGUGGAAGAACAGGGAGAAGAAAGGGAGAAGAAAGGGAUAAGACAGGAUUGUUGCAAGAUGCAGAAGCGGUGGCGACGAUUGCGAGCUACUUGGGAUGGGUAGUCGCUGUAAGUUUUGAUAUAUGCGCCAGGUUAUUUACGAUCGCAUAAGAAUUAGCCCAGACAGUAAGCCAGUCUUUCUCUAGCAAAAAGCCAACUUUGCGCCGCGGACUGGCACUGUAGUCCACCGGUUUUUGCUCGUUCGCUUUCGGAAAAGUCGUUAAAUCUCGCGCCGCAUUCGACGAAUCAGCCAAAUGACGUUUCUUGCGUCCUGUGGUUGUAUCGAUGGAACUUCGGACGACGAUAAUUCCACUCGCGUGUUUCAACUUCUUCGACACGGUGCAAUGGUGUCAUUCAAAUCUGUAGGAUAUUUCGACGAAGCUAAACAAUGCAACGAGUUAAUUGAUUCUCGAAAGUGUAGCUGUUCGUGUAGUAUCAUUUCGCUAUAUCUCUUCUGUUAUACGUUGAAACAAUAGCCUUAUCAUGGAAUUAUUCAACUCAUCCUCUCGUUUUUUGAUAUCUUUUCUGGCUGAUCUUAAGGUGCACGAUAUUUUCUCAUUCUUUCGUUAUUAUAUUAACGACUAAUAGUCUUUAUCCAAGAUAUAAUAAUAUGCAACAAACUUGAGUAUUCUAUGCGAAAUUGAAGUAUAAAUUUGAACAUGCGGAAGCUCGGAUGAUUCAAAUAACCCCAUCUUCGAUAGAACAAACCGGACAAGUGGCGAUAGAUUCGCGAGACCAACUGUUUGCAUCGGCUCGUGGAUACUAUUUGAAAAUUCGUCGGAUCCCCGGGCGAGAUUGUCACAACGAAUUAUGCUGGUCGCGUGAAAAAUUAACGGAGCUGGUUUUCGACGAUCGACGUACGUUAGAAAGCCAAGCGGAAAGUCAUUUUUCUCUUCGUUCCUUUAACGGCCACUGGCAGAUUAAUUAAUCACGCCGUGCCGAUUUCGUUCGACCACGCGGCUCGAUUAAUAAAAUCGAACCCCGACUCUCGUUCCUUGUUUAAGUUAACUUGCUCGCCGUGCAGUUAAUUACGCCGAUCGAUGAGCGCCGCAUAUUUUUGACGUUCAUGGAAUACGAGAACAUACCGUGUGUACUCGUAAAACUGGUUUUGACGAGCGCCUUUAAUCCCGGCCAGCGAAUGGAAACGACUCUGAAUUCACGAUGAAACGCGUAAAUUCGCAAUCUGCAAAAUGUACAACAACUCGCCGAACUUCUGAUUUAUGAUCCUGGACAACGCUUUCACAGGAUUUUCCACGUUAUGCCGUGUUAUCUGACACAUCUAAAAUAUUAUGAGGAAAGUUGUACCUGCGUACAUUGUACUUUUCGACCGAUGUGCAGCAAUUAUGUGGAGAAUCUCUACUGUUGUUAUUCGACCGCUUACGCACCAGUGAAACCUUGUCAGUCUGUCAUCAAACUUAUCGAAGUUCGAACGUGGCGCCAUGAAGAAUAAUAAGACGAGUCAUUGGUGCUCUGAUUGGAGUAUCACAAGGAAUUGUGCUUCGUGUUGUUUCAAAGGAAUAUCGAUGGAUUGGUCGAUGGAUUUCUUGGAAACAUUGCAAUACCAAGCCUAGAUGAUGGAAAACGAGCAUUUGCCAUUACUGAGCAGCGUUAGUUAAAUGAAGGUGGAAUGGUGAGUAUUCUCUUCUCGAUUAUUUACUGAGGGUCGCAAGUAUUAUUAUAGUGGCGGCUACUAUUAAAUCACUAUUUUACGUAAAUGUUGGUUGUUCCUAAUUAUGUAUAUUAAUCUUUACAUUUAUCGGAAAACUUAAUUUAACAUAUUUAAACAAAUUGUAUUUUAUUCGGUAUUUUCUUGAUAUUUUUAGGCGAAAUGCAUUUUUAACGUCGCACACGAUAUGUUUUCAUAUAUCAAAGGAAAAAGGCUUUCUCUUGUACAAUUAAAUUAAUUACUGUUAGUUAGAAACUAUGCAUUAUCAGUAUUUUUCUUUCAUAAUACCUAGAAAUCUGAGUAAUGCAACAAGCAAGACUUUUGCAAGUAAAUUUUAUUAAUUGUAUAAAUUAUUUGAUUAUUCUAUAUGAUGUUGAAUUUUAUGCAAGAAUUUGCACCUGUAGAAUGAUAAAAUUGAAGUUUAUGAUGUAUAACUCGUGUCUUGUCAGUUUAUUAAUGUUCUAUUUUAUUAAUGUUUUAUCAAUUGAUGAAUUAUCGUGCAAGCCGGUCUUUGUUAAAAAUGAUAUUCAACUUUACAUUUAUCAUCCGAUAUCUCAUAUUUAACAGUUUAUGACGGCCAUAACUUUUGUUACGUAAUGAAAUAACUUUCAUCAUUUUUUCAUAAUUUCAUGACCCUGUAUCUUUUAUUAAAUAUUCUCCACAUAUUCUCUAUAAUUUUAUAUCUUUCGCGUACAUUUAGAAUAAAAAUUCGCGAUAAGAACGAAGUAAAAUUUUGCUUUAUUUAACAUGGAAAUUACGCGAAAAAAAAUAAAGCUAUACAUGUAUCCAAUAAAAUAAUUACACAACCGUGGUUUAAAAGAUAAAAAAUAACCCACUCCUCGUUCACAGACCACCGUUCGAUAGUUUUAACAUAGAAAUCUUACGUAUUUUGUCGCUUAUUCCUGAUAACAAUAACAUAAUAUUUUCGUCAUUAUUUUACGCGUAACCGGAUAUCGUCAAUUAUAUAUACUGCACGAAUGAGAGCUAGCGUAUAAUAACGUACAAAAGUACGUAUAUCAAACAAAAAAAAAAAGAGGAAACUCCGACGGGUUAAAAAAUAGCCCGGCGGAUGAACAUCAUCACAGUGGCCCGAUUUCACGAGCAUUGUUAUGGUGAUAGAGUUCGAGAAUAAAAAAAAAAAAAAAGAAAAAAUAGGAGUGGAAGGGAAGAAAGAAAAGGGGUGAAAAAGAGUGGGAUGAAACACGAGCGAAUAGCAAUACGCCUGCACGAACGAAUUUGUUACCAGGCGAGUUUUGAUACCAUUUAAUUCGUUGUUUCGACUGUGACGAAUUCAUCAUGAACGGCGGGAGGCGGGAAAACCUUCGAUUUCCAUUUAACCCAUUCAAACUCGUUUUCACGUGUUUCUUUAACCAUCGAAAUAGGAAACGGCCGCGCCGGAUUGUUCAAUAUUUAACUGCAAGUUUUUGUAGAGUUUGGUUUUUAUCCAGGCCAGCCAAAUGCUGGAAAUGCCGAUUGGAGACAACAAUCGAUGAAAAGCACGCGCGGUUUUCCACGUCGCGUUGCGAACAUAAUAAAUCUUAAAUUCCCUAGCUAUUCGAAAUUUUUGUAUUCGCGAGACAUGGUCGAGGGGUCACGGGUUGGGGAUCCAAGCAGGCACGCGAUAGAUUUGUAAUCAAAAACAUUCGUCUUUAGUCCUUCGACGCAACGUCGCUGUCAACCUUAGCGUAUUAUUUUUGUAAGCGCGUGUGUGGAAUAUUGUGCGUAGUGAUGCACUGUAAAGCCUAAUCUCAAUCUCUUAUCUCCGGUAAAGUGUAUGAAAGAAUAAUUCUUAAACUCUGUAAGAAAAUUCUGUUCGAAAAAUUUCCGUGUUCCUGUGAGCUUAUCCGUAAGAGGAAACUUAUGGAGUGGGGAUAGAAGCACGUAAGCCUUCAUCGACGUUAUAUGUCUUCGAUCCUUCGACAGGUGAAUGUCAACACAACAUCAAGUGCAUUUUACGAACUAUACCGUGGAUGCAUAACAUCGCGAGUUUGGAAUUUAACAUCGUAAGACAGUAAAGUGAAAAGAUACUAAAUUAUGAAUUCUGUAAAAAGAUUUCUGUGCUCGUGUGACUAACUUUGUCCAUAGGAGAUAUUUCUGGGACGAAUAUAUCAGAAACAGGAGAAACUUAUGGAGUGGAGUUAAGAGAUACAACGUUCGUCGACGCCAUGUGUCUUUGACUCUUUGACGAGUCAAUGUCAACACGACGACGAGUGGACUUCUCGUGCUAUGCUUCGGCGUGGAAUCUCGUGUAGAGUGUAGAAGCACAUGACGACAACUUUUGAUGGAAUUCGUGAACUGGAUACGAAGCGGACUGCUUCAAAGAACCUGAAUCGAAAAUAUCCGACUGGAUGAUAGAGAGGAACGUCGUUUGUCACGACAAAAUACCCUUUCUGGAAGUUGCCGAGGAAAACAAUUAGAUGACCUAUCGCAUGAUUCUAUCGACAUCCUUCAGGCAGCAACCUGCCAGAUGGAAGUAAAGUAUGAAGCCAGAUGGCGUCGACGUUUUGCCAGACACACAUCGCGUUCCAGAAUUUAAUUGG